UACGGAGGGUGCAAGCGUUAAUCGGAAUUACUGGGCGUAAAGCGCGCGUAGGCGGUUAGAUCAGUCGGGUGUGAAAUCCCCGGGCUCAACCUGGGAACUGCAUUCGAUACUGUCUGACUGGAGUAUGGGAGAGGGUAGUGGAAUUCCACGUGUAGCGGUGAAAUGCGUAGAUAUGUGGAGGAACACCUGUGGCGAAGGCGGCUACCUGGCCCAAUACUGACGCUGAGGUGCGAAAGCGUGGGUAGCGAACAGG
This 253-nucleotide ribosomal RNA is filed under the name uncultured bacterium. RNAcentral's name for it is "partial 16S ribosomal RNA". It matches the Rfam family "Bacterial small subunit ribosomal RNA", at positions 524 to 776 of the family's 1533-position model. The record is from RNAcentral.